UAAAAAGUUCUUCGCGCGUGACUUUUAGUAUACACAUAAAAAUUGUGACAAAGGUGGCAAAUAUUACUGUUCUGCUCUUUUUAGUCAGUUUUAAAAAUUGAAAAAUGAAGUGCAUCGCCGCUUUUAGCAAGAAUAAAACACCAAAUUCGUUUAAAAACGUGGCGUUUUCCGCUUUCCCAAACAACCUGAAGUGAGACAGAAGUGGGUUUUAUUUUGUCGUCGGCAAAAUGAAGAUAUCACUGAGAAUCCCAGAAUAUGCAGCCUUCACUUCAAUUAUAACGAUUUGUACGUUGUCAGACGAGGAGGAAAAUUAAUGAUUAAUUCUGGUGCUAUCCCAGUGUUUGAAAAGGUCAUAAACAUUUCUGAUGAUGAUCAAGGUUUUCCGAUUACAAAUAAUGACGGAUGCUCUGGUGUUUAAUCGAAAGGAAUGUUUCAUCGUGAAAAGGAAAUAGAAAAUUAGGCAUCGUAUUCAUCACUUGGUUCGACAGUAACUGCUUGCUCUGACGGUUUUGGAGAAACAGCGUUAGAGUACGAAAAAUUAUCAAAGCAGCCCAAGUGCCGUUUAAUUCAAACCAUUCAAAAGCUAAAACGACGAGAUUGUUCGAAGAACCGCAUUUUGAAAUUACUCCGUAAGCGUAUUACACGGUUGGAAAAGAAAUGCCAUGUAUCUAAAGAGGCAGCAUCAAUUCUGUUUAACCCUGAACAGGUAACUUUAAUUAAAAACAGCCUAAAGCGUGUCAGGAAGUGGUCAGAUAAAACAAUGACUGAAAGCUUUGGAGUCAGAUUCGCU
Long non-coding RNA from Wyeomyia smithii (pitcher-plant mosquito), 790 nucleotides. RefSeq lists it as uncharacterized. Lineage: Eukaryota; Metazoa; Arthropoda; Insecta; Diptera; Culicidae. The record is from RefSeq and is a predicted model, not a curated record. The transcript is spliced from 4 exons.